AACGAACGCUGGCGGCAUGCCUAACACAUGCAAGUCGGACGAGACCUUCGGGUCUAGUGGCGCACGGGUGCGUAACGCGUGGGAAUCUACCCUUGGGUUCGGAAUAACAGUUAGAAAUGACUGCUAAUACCGGAUGAUGACGUAAGUCCAAAGAUUUAUCGCCCAAGGAUGAGCCCGCGUAAGAUUAGCUUGUUGGUGGGGUAAUGGCCUACCAAGGCGACGAUCUUUAACUGGUCUGAGAGGAUGAUCAGCCACACUGGGACUGAGACACGGCCCAGACUCCUACGGGAGGCAGCAGUGGGGAAUAUUGGACAAUGGGCGAAAGCCUGAUCCAGCAAUGCCGCGUGAGUGAUGAAGGCCUUAGGGUUGUAAAGCUCUUUUACCAGGGAUGAUAAUGACGGUACCUGGAGAAUAAGCUCCAGCUAACUCCGUGCCAGCCGCCGCAGUAA
This 449-nucleotide ribosomal RNA is filed under the name uncultured bacterium. RNAcentral describes it as "partial 16S ribosomal RNA". It matches the Rfam family "Bacterial small subunit ribosomal RNA", at positions 29 to 523 of the family's 1533-position model. The record is from RNAcentral.